CCUACGGGGGGCAGCAGUGAGGAAUAUUGGUCAAUGGACGAGAGUCUGAACCAGCCAAGUAGCGUGAAGGAUGACUGCCCUCUGGGUUGUAAACUUCUUUUAUAUGGGAAUAAAACGUUCCACGUGUGGGAUUUUGUAUGUACCAUAUGAAUAAGGAUCGGCUAACUCCGUGCCAGCAGCCGCGGUAAUACGGAGGAUCCGAGCGUUAUCCGGAUUUAUUGGGUUUAAAGGGAGCGUAGGUGGAUUGUUAAGUCAGUUGUGAAAGUUUGCGGCUCAACCGUAAAAUUGCAGUUGAAACUGGCAGUCUUGAGUACAGUAGAGGUGGGCGGAAUUCGUGGUGUAGCGGUGAAAUGCUUAGAUAUCACGAAGAACUCCGAUUGCGAAGGCAGUUCACUGGACUGCAACUGACACUGAGGCUCGAAAGUGUGGGUAUCAAACAGGAUUAGAUACCCGUGUAGUC
This 460-nucleotide ribosomal RNA is filed under the name uncultured bacterium. Its description in RNAcentral is "partial 16S ribosomal RNA". It matches the Rfam family "Bacterial small subunit ribosomal RNA", at positions 338 to 795 of the family's 1533-position model. The record is from RNAcentral.